This 84-nucleotide transfer RNA is filed under the name Felis catus (domestic cat). It matches the Rfam family "tRNA". Rfam says of the family: Transfer RNA (tRNA) molecules are approximately 80 nucleotides in length. RNAcentral also lists the same sequence under 3 other names. The record is from Rfam by way of RNAcentral. Lineage: Eukaryota; Metazoa; Chordata; Mammalia; Carnivora; Felidae.
GCCUGAGUGGCUCAGUCAGUUGAGCGUCUGACUUCAGCUCAGGUAUGAUCUCAUGGUUCGUGAGUUCGAGCCCCAUGUCAGGCU